GUUAAACAAAAAAAAAAGUGUACUAUAAACUUCUCUCUAGACGUUAAUUACUCGGUGUGUAUUGUGUACAAAAUACGAACUUGUGGACUAAUUUAGCUAGAUAAAAAUUUGUGUUGUGUGUAAAGCUUCGUUUUUAUGUUUAAUUACGUAAAACAUUUAAGAUGGCUUUUAUGUAUUAUUUUAUUUUUAAAUAAUUCAUCCAAUAAAGAAUUUGAUAUAUUGAAUAUCGUGGUACCGGAUGUAAAUAGCCUGAAUCAUUGUUAAAAAGAACUAAGUAUUGUAAAUUAUUACAAACGAUAGUUA
Long non-coding RNA from Melitaea cinxia (Glanville fritillary), 303 nucleotides. RefSeq lists it as uncharacterized. NCBI's taxonomy places the organism in Eukaryota, Metazoa, Arthropoda, Insecta, Lepidoptera, Nymphalidae. The transcript is spliced from 2 exons. The record is from RefSeq and is a predicted model, not a curated record.